AGUUUUUCCACUUCCUGUUUUCCCCUUUCCUGCUGCAGCUUUACGCCUGCCUUUGAGCACUUUUCUCCCCACACCUGUUUUCCGUUUGUCAUUAGCAUUAAGUUGAGCUUGUGACAGUUUUUGUUGUUGGGACAUUAUUCCCAAUUCACUGGUCACUAUUGAUGAUUCCUUCCCUGCGGAGCUCAAGUACGCACAUGAAGACCGUCUCAUAAUCGUCACAAAGAAAUGGGCGUCUUUUCGUGUUGUCUUUGCCAGUUUCGGGUCCUAAAUGGCUGUCAAAGUGUACCAACUUGUCGGAAUACCCACUCAGACGUCUUCUGUCCAGACCAAGAUCCGUGUCUACAGGGCUGUUGUGAUUCCAACCCUUCUACAUGAGUCAGGGAGUUGGACUCUCUAUCGGAUAUAUAUCAGGAUCCUGUAGAGGUUUCACCAGCAAGAGUUGCGGGCAAUCUUGGUAAUUGCCUGGGAAGAUCGCUUCACCAACAAUCUCCCUAGGUCGUCCUCAGACGAGCCUUCCAUCGUUGUCUCCAGUCAUCCCGGUUCUCCGUACAUCUGGCCAGCUCGUUGGUGCUUUGUACUCCCGCAUCAUUCUUGAGUACAUCCACAUAUGUUACAGUGGGACGUCCUCGUGACCGGUGCCCAUGUGUUGGCUCCCACAGUACCAGUUUGCUGGCUGGCAGCUCCUGGUGUCUUUGGCAGUGUCCUGCUUGUCUCAUUCUCCUGGCUGCUAUUUUGUCGCUCACCCAUCCAGCAUACAAAUUCUUGUUGGUAACAUGCGUACUCUUUCUGAUGUUGAGCACUACACGUAGCAUUCUGGUGUAGCACCCGUCUAGAGACUUCUGCAGUGUUGGCUUCAGGGUCCAGCAUUCACUUGCCAUAUAGGAGAACAGAUUCCACAGUCGCGUAGAAGAAGCUGAGUUUGAUUUGUCGGUCGAACAAUGAUGUUCUAACAUGUGCCGGCCUCCCGAGCAUGGAAGCGAUCAUCGCCAAGAACCAGCUGUGUUUCUUCUGUCAUUUAAACCAUAAUGAGGAAUCGUCCCUCCCCAAACAGAUCCUGUUUGGUGAACUGGCCCAUGGUUCUAGACUGCUAGGGGGACACAAGAUACGGCAGAAAGACCAGUUUAAACAACUACUAAAACAGAGCAGGAUUCCUGUGGACAACUGGUAGACCCUGGCAGUGGACCGCACAAUCGCCACCGAUGCUCAGAAACUUGAGACCGAGCGAGCACGAGCAGCAGAGAAGAAGCGCCCACUGAGACAGCAACGUCUUUUGCUACCCUGUCCACCUCCAACACUUCCGUGCCAAGACUGCCCCCGGCUUUUCCACACACAUCUUGGACUCCACAGUCACCAGCAGGCACACAGGCAGAGAGUCCAGCAAGCUCAGCUAGUCCAGAAGGAGAAGAAAUGAAUAAUGGAGAAUGGAUCCUCGUUUUUGAGGCUGCCAUGAUGAACUUUUUAGCAAAAAUAUCAAAUAAUCAAGCC
Long non-coding RNA from Entelurus aequoreus (snake pipefish), 1485 nucleotides. RefSeq lists it as uncharacterized. Lineage: Eukaryota; Metazoa; Chordata; Actinopteri; Syngnathiformes; Syngnathidae. The record is from RefSeq and is a predicted model, not a curated record. The transcript is spliced from 3 exons.